UGGAUCCAGACUUUGAUCAUGGCUCAGGACGAACGCUGGCGGCGUGCUUAACACAUGCAAGUCGAACGAGACGAUUGAAAGCUUGCUUUUGAGAGUCGAGUGGCAAACGGGUGAGUAACGCGUAGACAACCUGCCGUAAAGAUGGGGACAACAGUUCGAAAGGACUGCUAAUACCGAAUGUUGUAGAGUUUCCGCAUGGGGAUUCUACUAAAGGUGGCCUCUACUUGUAAGCUAUCGCUUUACGAUGGGUCCGCGUCUGAUUAGCUAGUUGGUGGGGUAACGGCCUACCAAGGCGACGAUCAGUAGCCGGUCUGAGAGGAUGAACGGCCACAUUGGAACUGAGAUACGGUCCAGACUCCUACGGGAGGCAGCAGUGGGGAAUCUUCCGCAAUGGGCGCAAGCCUGACGGAGCAACGCCGCGUGAGUGAAAAAGGGUUUCGACUCGUAAAGCUCUGUUGUCGGGGACGAAUGUGGAGAUGGUGAAUAACCAUUUUCAAUGACGGUACCUGACGAGGAAGCCACGGCUAACUACGUGCCAGCAGCCGCGGUAAUACGUAGGUGGCGAGCGUUGUCCGGAAUUAUUGGGCGUAAAGGGAGCGCAGGCGGGAAGGUAAGUCUAUCUUAAAAGUGCGGGGCUCAACCCCGUGAGGGGAUGGAAACUAUCUUUCUUGAGUGCAGGAGAGGAAAGCGGAAUUCCUAGUGUAGCGGUGAAAUGCGUAGAUAUUAGGAGGAACACCAGUGGCGAAGGCGGCUUUCUGGACUGUAACUGACGCUGAGGCUCGAAAGCGUGGGGAGCGAACAGGAUUAGAUACCCUGGUAGUCCACGCCGUAAACGAUGAAUGCUAGGUGUAGGAGGUAUCGACCCCUUCUGUGCCGGAGUUAACGCAAUAAGCAUUCCGCCUGGGGAGUACGGCCGCAAGGCUGCAACUCAAAUGAAUUGACGGA
RNAcentral lists this ribosomal RNA (945 nucleotides) under uncultured Bacillota bacterium. Its description in RNAcentral is "bacterial SSU rRNA". It matches the Rfam family "Bacterial small subunit ribosomal RNA", at positions 1 to 917 of the family's 1533-position model. Lineage: Bacteria; Bacillati; Bacillota. The record is from RNAcentral.